CAGCAGCCGCGGGAAUACGGAGGGUGCAAGCGUUAAUCGGAAUUACUGGGCGUAAAGCGCACGCAGGCGGUCUGUCAAGUCAGAUGUGAAAUCCCCGGGCUUAACCUGGGAACUGCAUUUGAAACUGGCAGACUGGAGUCUUGUAGAGGGGGGUAGAAUUCCAGGUGUAGCGGUGAAAUGCGUAGAGAUCUGGAGGAAUACCGGUGGCGAAGGCGGCCCCCUGGACAAAGACUGACGCUCAGGUGCGAAAGCGUGGGGAGCAAACAGGAUUAGAUACCCCGGUAGUCCCUGUCUCUUAUAC
RNAcentral lists this ribosomal RNA (301 nucleotides) under uncultured bacterium. RNAcentral's name for it is "partial 16S ribosomal RNA". It matches the Rfam family "Bacterial small subunit ribosomal RNA", at positions 509 to 807 of the family's 1533-position model. The record is from RNAcentral.